RNAcentral lists this transfer RNA (76 nucleotides) under Enterococcus faecalis. RNAcentral's name for it is "tRNA-Ala". It matches the Rfam family "tRNA". From Rfam's summary of the family: Transfer RNA (tRNA) molecules are approximately 80 nucleotides in length. Their secondary structure includes four short double-helical elements and three loops (D, anti-codon, and T loops). The record is from RNAcentral. Lineage: Bacteria; Bacillati; Bacillota; Bacilli; Lactobacillales; Enterococcaceae. RNAcentral also lists the same sequence under 68 other names.
GGGGCCAUAGCUCAGCUGGGAGAGCGCCUGCCUUGCACGCAGGAGGUCAGGAGUUCGAUCCUCCUUGGCUCCACCA